AACGCACAUUGCACCCUCUGGUAUUCCGGAGGGUAUGCCUGUUUGAGUGUCAUUAAUAUCUCAACCCAGACAGGUUUCACAACCUGCUCUGUUGCUUGGAUGUUGAAGGCUUGCUGGCUUUUUCAAGUCAGCUCCUUUUAAAUUCAUUAGCAGAAAUGAUAGGCAAAACUGGCUUCAGUUUGAUAAACUACUUUAUCUGUACUGCUGUCGCUAGUGAAAGAUACCUAACAUAUUUCAGCUUCCAAUUGUCCCAUGUGGGACUGUCUUCUUGAAGGCAUAACCAACUUGACACUUGACCUCAAAUCAGGUAGGACUACCCGCUGAACUUAA
RNAcentral lists this unclassified non-coding RNA (330 nucleotides) under uncultured Clavaria. RNAcentral's name for it is "sequence contains ITS2". The stretch from base 1 to 52 matches the Rfam family "5.8S ribosomal RNA", at positions 103 to 154 of the family's 154-position model. The record is from RNAcentral. Lineage: Eukaryota; Fungi; Basidiomycota; Agaricomycetes; Agaricales; Clavariaceae.